CCUGCUUUUCUUGGUGGGCACUGGCAGAGGGAAAGAGUCCCGUCCCCCUAAGGGACAUGUCUUUAGUGCCAGUGGCUUCCAGUCCACUGGUUCGCUACUCAAGCCUCAGGACACCA
Molecule: small nucleolar RNA, 116 nt
Organism: Talpa occidentalis (Iberian mole)
Lineage: Eukaryota; Metazoa; Chordata; Mammalia; Eulipotyphla; Talpidae
Product: small nucleolar RNA SNORA57
Exons: 1
Source: RefSeq, a predicted model, not a curated record